Non-coding RNA from Caenorhabditis elegans, 45 nucleotides. The record is from Rfam. Lineage: Eukaryota; Metazoa; Nematoda; Chromadorea; Rhabditida; Rhabditidae.
CCAACGGCCCUCUUUAGGGCCACAUACUUAUGAUCCAAUUUUUUC